UGUGGGUGAUUAGAAGGAAAAGUUGAGAAAUGAAGGAAAUGGAAAGUUGGCAAACUGCCCAGUGGGCGUAAAGUCCAAAUACAGACCGUAAAGUGAAAUACGGUCCGUAAAUAGCCAGGUUGUAAAAUGGCAUACAAAGGCUUCAACUUUCUGUCAGUGGGAAAUGGUAAAACACGACCUGGUGGACGGACCGUAAAGUGAAAUACGGUCCGUAAACUGCAGUCGUAAAUUGCCAUGCAAAGGCUUCAACUUUCUGCCAACUGAGGAAGAGGUAUAAUACGACCUGGUGGACGGACCGUAAAGUGAUUUACGACCCGUAAACCACCAUGGACGACCACACCAUGCAUGCAGGCCAAAGUCUCUAGCCUUGCUUAAGCUUAAAGACGACCACAUGGGACGGUCCGUAAAGUGAUUUACGGCCCGUAAACCACCAUGGACGACCACACCAUGCAUGCAGGCCAAAGUCUCUGGCCUUGCUUAAGCUUAAAGACGACCACAUGGGACGGUCCGUAAAGUGAGAUACGGACCGUAAACCACCAUGGACGACCACUGUUCACUGAUGACAGAUUUUCCAAGUCAUUAAAUAUGAAGACCAAGACUUGUUUUAUUUCAUUUCUACAGUGCACCACUUCUCUCUAGAAUCAUCUCUCUACAUUUAUUCCAUAAGUUUUCAAGGAUUACAAGCCACCAACAACAUAAAUAAGUGAAUCAAGUGUAAGCAAGCCAUUAAAUACCAUCCAAGUCAAGAAAUGCAAAUGGAGAAAAACUAGGGUUUUGCUCAAAGUGAAGUAUUAUUAACCAAGGCUUGUUCCUACAUCAUCUAAGGUGGAAACUUGAGCAUUGAAGGAGUACGCACAAGUGUAGGAUAGUUCGACGACAAGGUAUGUGAGGCUAACCCUUCUUUCAUAAGGCAUGGUUCUUUGGCCAAACUCCUAAUCCCUCUAUAUGAGUAUGUUGACUAGAAUUGUUUCACAUUCCGAGCUCAUAAGCUCAGUAUCCUUAAUAUGCACUACGAAUGAACUACGCACCUCAAGCGACGAGUAAGACUAUGAUAUAGAGUUAAUGAAAAUGUUAAUGAUGUAAAAGGUGCCUACGGGCUAUUGUAUGUAUGUGUGCCUAUGAAGGGCUAUAAUGAACCCCCGAGCUUAUGAUGCCGGGUAAGGAUAUAUGUAUAUAAAUAUGUAUAAAGUAUAUAUAUUAUUACGAAACGCGCGCUCACCUCUGUAGAUGGUACGGAUAACCCUGAUGCCUUGGUAGGGACAGGUAGAUGUAACCUUGAGCUUUGGUUGGCCAGGUAUGUAUGAUCUUGAGCCUUGGUUGGCCAAGUAUGUAUGAAACACCGAUCCUAUGAGGUUGGGCAUGCUAUGUAAAUGUUAUGUAUAUGAAUAUAAAUAUGAAUAUAUAUAUAUAUAUAUAUAUAUAUAUAUAUAUAUAUAUAUAUAUAUAUAUAUAUAUAUAUAUAUAUAUAAUGAAUACAAAUGUGAUAAGACUAUGUAUAAGGAUAUGAAUAAGAACAGGUAUACGAACAUGAGCACAAGUAUGGUAUGAGUAUUACUAUGAAAUACGAACGACGAUGUAUGCAAGUAAGCGACAUGAUGACGAUGAUAUUACUGUCUCCCCUCUUAUGCUAUUUCCAUAUGAUAUUUAUUAUGCUUCAAUAUUGAUGAUGAUCAUGCUUUACAUACUCAGUACAUUCUUCGUACUGACGUCCUUUUGUUUGUGGACGCUGCGUCAUGCCCGCAGGUGCACCAGGAGACAGACGUGACUAGUAGCUGCUUAUUCUGAGUUUGCAUAGUAGAGCUCCAUUUCAUUCGGAGCGAUAGUUUUUGGGUACUAAUCCUUUUGUGUAUAUAACUAUGGGCAUAGCGGGGUCCUAUCCCGCUCAUGACAUGUCAUACUCUUAGAGGCUCGUAGUCAUGCGUAUGUGGGUAGAGAUGUUUGGCCAUGUCGGCCUAUGUUUUGUAUAUCUUUUGUUGGCCUCGUCGGCCUUGUAUAUUUGACGUGGCAUAGAUGCCUAUGAUAUGUUAAUCAAUGACGAUCGUCCAAUGGGACUAGCUGGUUUAAUGGCUAAAAUGUAUGAAAUGA
Lycium barbarum (goji berry) is the source of this 2085-nucleotide long non-coding RNA. RefSeq lists it as uncharacterized. Lineage: Eukaryota; Viridiplantae; Streptophyta; Magnoliopsida; Solanales; Solanaceae. The transcript is spliced from 2 exons. The record is from RefSeq and is a predicted model, not a curated record.